This 484-nucleotide ribosomal RNA is filed under the name uncultured bacterium. RNAcentral describes it as "partial 16S ribosomal RNA". It matches the Rfam family "Bacterial small subunit ribosomal RNA", at positions 30 to 507 of the family's 1533-position model. The record is from RNAcentral.
AUUGAACGCUGGCGGCAGGCCUAACACAUGCAAGUCGAGCGGAUGAAGGGAGCUUGCGCCUGGAUUCAGCGGCGGACGGGUGAGUAAUGCCUAGGAAGCUGCCUGGUAGUGGGGGAUAACGUCCGGAAACGGGCGCUAAUACCGCAUACGUCCUGAGGUAGAAAGGGGGGGAUCUUCGGACCUCGCGCGAUCAGAUGAGCCUAGGUCGGAUUAGCUAGUUGGUUGGGUAAAGGCCUACCAAGGCGACGAUCCGUAACUGGUCUGAGAGGAUGAUCAGUCACACUGGAACUGAGACACGGUCCAGACUCCUACGGGAGGCAGCAGUGGGGAAUAUUGGACAAUGGGCGAAAGCCUGAUCCAGCCAUGCCGCGUGUGUGAAGAAGGUCUUCGGAUUGUAAAGCACUUUAAGUUGGGAGGAAGAACAGUAAGUUAAUCCCUUGCUGUUUUGACGUUACCAACAGAAUAAGCACCGGCUAACUUCGUG